CUACAGAUGGGCGACACCGCACACCCUAUGGAUCACUAAAGAAGGAAAGUUCUACAAAGCUACGGACCCAGCAGACAUUCCCGCAAUACUGGCAGCACUGGACUUACAACCACAACGGGGCCUCGAACACGCAUCACCGGACACACAACCUCUACUGGACACUGACUCAGAUACGUCCUCAUCCGACAUUAGAAGAGACAGGAGGCCAAAGACUUGAAUUAAUCAACACACCUGAGUACCUCAAGUUAUAGGGACAUUCGAGAGACUUUCCUAGCUAUGCCAUGACUUUUAAUUUUUUUUUUUUUUGUUCUGUUUCUGUUUAUGCAAAUCAACACACAAAUUCUUAGCUGCGCACAGAGAUUCAAGGGCACACACAGCGCCCACAGCACGCCCAGGGACUUUCUCCCCCCCCCCUCCCUAUCACACCCAACAUGCCAGAGAGACACGACAAGGGGACAAGGGACCACACAAGGAAGAGGGCCACACACUAAAACUAGGGUCAAGAGCAACUAUCACAUAGGGCUGACAACACAUAGGAACCAAUGCGCCUCAGAUCCAUAAGCACCCAAGAGAAACAAACUCGC
This is a non-coding RNA of Pelobates cultripes (western spadefoot toad), 584 nucleotides long. The record is from the annotation of a GenBank genome assembly. NCBI's taxonomy places the organism in Eukaryota, Metazoa, Chordata, Amphibia, Anura, Pelobatidae.